UUAAAAGUAAGUUAAUAAAACUAUGGGUUUGUGGAACCUUGAAUCGCGCGGCGCUUUUGAG
Molecule: transfer RNA, 61 nt
Filed under: Biomphalaria straminea
Lineage: Eukaryota; Metazoa; Mollusca; Gastropoda; Planorbidae
Description: tRNA-His
Source: RNAcentral